Molecule: ribosomal RNA, 254 nt
Filed under: uncultured bacterium
Lineage: Bacteria
Description: partial 16S ribosomal RNA
Rfam family: Bacterial small subunit ribosomal RNA
Source: RNAcentral
UACGUAGGGUGCGAGCGUUGUCCGGAAUUACUGGGCGUAAAGAGCUCGUAGGUGGUUUGUCGCGUCGUUUGUGUAAGUCCACGGCUUAACUGUGGGAUGGCAGGCGAUACGGGCAUAACUUGAGUGCUGUAGGGGAGACUGGAAUUCCUGGUGUAGCGGUGAAAUGCGCAGAUAUCAGGAGGAACACCGAUGGCGAAGGCAGGUCUCUGGGCAGUAACUGACGCUGAAGAGCGAAAGCAUGGGUAGCGAACAGG